This 1028-nucleotide ribosomal RNA is filed under the name Pyrinomonadaceae bacterium. RNAcentral's name for it is "partial 23S ribosomal RNA". It matches the Rfam family "Bacterial large subunit ribosomal RNA", at positions 1888 to 2925 of the family's 2925-position model. Lineage: Bacteria; Pseudomonadati; Acidobacteriota; Blastocatellia; Blastocatellales; Pyrinomonadaceae. The record is from RNAcentral.
GGUUAGUCGUAAGGCGAAGCUGCGAAUCGAAGCCCCAGUGAAUGGCGGCCGUAACUAUAACGGUCCUAAGGUAGCGAAAUUCCUUGUCGGGUAAGUUCCGACCUGCACGAAUGGCGUAACGAUCUGAAAGCUGUCUUAACGAGGGACACAGCGAACUUGUAGUACCGGUGAAGAUGCCGGUUUCCCGCAUCUAGACGGAAAGACCCCGUGCACCUUGACUACAACUUGAUAGUGAUUUCGGGUAAAUAAUGCGCAGCAUAGGUGGGAGGCUUUGAUGUCAGGCUUUUGGGCUUGGCGGAGCCACAGGUGAGAUACCACCCUUUAUUUAUUUGGACUCUAACCUCGAUCCGUAAUCCGGAUCAGGGACAUUAUCAGGCGGGUAGUUUGACUGGGGCGGUCGCCUCCUAAAGAGUAACGGAGGCGCUCGAAGGUUGGCUCAGGCUGUUUGGAAAUCAGCCGCAGAGUGUAAACGCAUAAGCCAGCUUAACUGCGAGACAUACACGUCGAGCAGGUACGAAAGUAGGAGUUAGUGAUCCGGCGGUCGCUUAUGGAAGUGCCGUCGCUCAACGGAUAAAAGGUACGCCGGGGAUAACAGGCUGAUCCUGCCCAAGAGUUCACAUCGACGGCAGGGUUUGGCACCUCGAUGUCGGCUCAUCAUAUCCUGGGGCUGAAGAAGGUCCCAAGGGUUCGGCUGUUCGCCGAUUAAAAUGGUACGUGAGCUGGGUUCAGAACGUCGCGAGACAGUUCGGUCCCUAUCUGGUGUGGGCGCAGCAAAAUUGAAGGAAUCUGACCUUAGUACGAGAGGACCGGGUUGGGUUGACCUCUAGUGUACGUGUUAUCGCGCCAGCGGUAUCGCACGGUAGCUAUGUCGAGCAUGGAUAAACGCUGAAUGCAUCUAAGCGUGAAGCCAGACCUAAGAUUAAUUUUGCCAGUGAGACUCGUGGAAGACCACCACGUUGAUAGGAUGGAUAUGUAAGUGCAGCAAUGUAUUUAGUUUACCAUUACUAAUUGUCCCAAGGCUUGACCAU